This 229-nucleotide ribosomal RNA is filed under the name uncultured bacterium. RNAcentral describes it as "partial 16S ribosomal RNA". It matches the Rfam family "Bacterial small subunit ribosomal RNA", at positions 568 to 796 of the family's 1533-position model. The record is from RNAcentral.
UGCGUAGGCGGACUAAUAAGUCAGUGGUGAAAUCCUUCGGCUCAACCGAGAAACUGCCAUUGAUACUGUUAGUCUUGAGUUCGGUUGAGGUAGGCGGAAUGUGUAAUGUAGCGGUGAAAUGCUUAGAUAUUACACAGAACACCAAUUGCGUAGGCAGCUUACUAGACCGACACUGACGCUGAGGCACGAAAGCGUGGGGAGCGAACAGGAUUAGAUACCCUGGUAGUCC